CGUAGGUGGCAAGCGUUGUCCGGAAUUACUGGGCGUAAAGGGCGUGUAGGCGGCCUUUAAGUCAGACGUGAAUCCCUGGGCUUAACCCAGGAAUUGCGUUUGAACUGGAGGGCUUGAGGAUCGGAGAGGGCAGUGGAAUUCCCAGUGUAGCGGUGAAAUGCGUAGAUAUUGGGAGGAACACCAGUGGCGAAGGCGACUGCCUGGACGACACCUGACGCUGAGGCGCGAAAGCUAGGGAGCAAACGGGAUU
RNAcentral lists this ribosomal RNA (250 nucleotides) under uncultured bacterium. RNAcentral describes it as "partial 16S ribosomal RNA". It matches the Rfam family "Bacterial small subunit ribosomal RNA", at positions 526 to 779 of the family's 1533-position model. The record is from RNAcentral.